GGAGGGUUAGCUCAGCUGGGAGAGCACCUGCCUUACAAGCAGGGGGUCGGCGGUUCGAUCCCGUCACCCUCCACCA
Molecule: transfer RNA, 76 nt
Filed under: Halalkalibacterium halodurans
Lineage: Bacteria; Bacillati; Bacillota; Bacilli; Caryophanales; Bacillaceae
Also listed under: 3 other names
Description: tRNA-Val
Rfam family: tRNA
About the family: Transfer RNA (tRNA) molecules are approximately 80 nucleotides in length. Their secondary structure includes four short double-helical elements and three loops (D, anti-codon, and T loops).
Source: RNAcentral